GAUGAAGGGUCGAGCCUGAGGGACUUCCCAUUUUUCAGUGUGUGUGUCGUGGUGGCGAGGAGCGGUGGUGUAGCUUCCUUUGGCUGCUGCUUCUCCUUUCUUUUCCCCCUUUAGUCUUUUUUAACGUUUGUCCUCGUGUUCCUCUUCCUCCUCGUUGCCUUUCCAUCGUUAUCGUUAUCAUCAUCCUCGCCCUCUCCGCUGGCUUUGUGUUUCUCACCUUACAUCUGCAGAUGAGGCUCACCCUCCUCUUCCUUUUUCUGCUGCUUCAACGCUUCUCGAUUUUAAUUUUCUUUCUCUUCGUUCUCAUCUUUUAUCUUGUCCUCCACCGCUCCUCUCCACACGAACAAGGACACACACAAGCCACAUUGUCAAUGUCGAUCCGGUGUCAUUGCAACGUCUUGUUCAGUCGUGAUGGUCCUCGUCCAGCUCCUCGCCACCUCACCACACGCCACCACCGUCCCUGUUGAUGCUGCGUCAACUUUAUUGGAUAAUGUUUGGAGGCGGCUGUCAAAAAGGAAGAGAUGUCUCAGCGUGCCAAAUAGCAGUGAAGAAGUUAAGAAUCCUUGGCAUCAGAGUGCAAAGCGAAAAUUGGCUUGUCAGACGAUAGGUAAGGACGAUACCUCACAGCUAGCGAGUAAAGUGGGGACCGGCAGCAAUCAGGGAAGGACUACAUGCACGCAGUUUCACUAAUCUUGUUGUAGUCUUAAAUUUCUUUCGUCCACUUCCACAUCUUGUCUGCCUUUUCUGCUCUCUUCCCAUGGACUUGAAAAUAUUUCCUUUUACUACUUCAUCAUUCUUUUCUCUUUUGUCUUGAUGGUCCUUGUCCUGCUCCUCGUCACUCGCCGCCACCUCUCCCUGUCAGCUUUAUUUAUUGGUGAGUUUCAAGACGUGCAAUCCCAAAGCGCGCUCUCUCUCUCUCUCUCUCUCUCUCUCUCUCUCUCUCUCUCUCUGUCGUGUGUGUGUGUUCUGAUUCUGGUAAUGUAACUUUAGAUGAUAUAGACUUCGUUUACAUGAUUUUAGACAAAUUCCUUACUCUUUUUUUCGGAAUCAGAUUCUGAUGAAACUUUUAUCCCACAUUUUUUCUUCACUUUUUUUCUCUCCAUUUUCUCACUCGGUUUUCGUUUUUGCAAGAUACCGAGAGAACAAUAUUUAAUUAAGAAAGGAUAGUUAGUGUACAUGCGUGCCUAUGGAUGGUAUAGUCCAGUAGCAGUCUGAAGAUGAUCGUAUAGUCCUGUAGCAGUCUUAAGAUGAUCAUCCUGUCAUCCACAUCCUCCUUUUUAUUGUCCUCCUUUAGGGAUUCUUGCUUCUUGCACGUAAACGUAUUGUCAUUUACUUCCUCAUUCUUUCUUCGUCUUGAUGUUACUUGUCUUGCUCUUCGUCACACGCCGCCGCCUCGCCACCACGGCUGCUGUUGGUGCUGCCGGCAACUACAUUGGUGAGUUUCAAGGCAAAGCUUUCUCUCUUUCCCGUAUUCUUCACCGCUCGUUUAGGCUACCAUCUAUCUCCUCUCCCCUCCCCUCUCUCUCUCUCUUUUUUUUCUUUCGAGUUACUGUAACUUUACAAAGAUUUAAAAGCCUUCAUUCAUAUUUGUGCAUUUUUGAUUGUGUAAAUUUCUUGGUAUAUUUUUUGUUCGGUUCCAGAUUCCAAUCAGACUUUCAAGUUUUUUCAACCUUUCUCUCUCCAUUUUUCCUUCUCUUCACUCCAAGUUUUUAAUUUUUAAGGCUUUGAAGAAAGAAAUCAAGAUGCCGAUAGAAUAAUGUGUGUGUGUGUGUGUGUGUGCGUGUGUUUGACGAGUAUUGUGCAUUUGCUUAUUGUUUUCUACUAUUUUUGGUUUUCUCUUUUGACGUUCCAUUUUUUUACACUUACCUGUCGAACUUCAUUGCAGUCCUCGUCAUUGCGUUCCCUCAUGCGUCGCUGUCAUGGCACCCUGGAACACUACAGCCACAACUGCUGCUGUCUUUCAUCCUAUAACAGGUGAUGUGUACUACCAGUUCUCAUACGUUAUUCAGCAAGCGAUGUUUUUCUGAAAAUCAUCGUAAUUUUCCGAAAGAAUGAUAGAAUUUUCAGCAAAACCGUGGACAUUAUAUAAUCUUUUCCUAUUCCUGUCCCUAGAUUUAUUUUUCUCUCCCCUUGCAAGUCUACCACCCCCCACCUCCAUCCUUGCGGUGGUAUCUUUCAGUUAA
Molecule: long non-coding RNA, 2183 nt
Organism: Scylla paramamosain (green mud crab)
Lineage: Eukaryota; Metazoa; Arthropoda; Malacostraca; Decapoda; Portunidae
Exons: 3
Source: RefSeq, a predicted model, not a curated record